This 1649-nucleotide long non-coding RNA is filed under the name Betta splendens (Siamese fighting fish). Its description in RNAcentral is "lncRNA (ENSBSLG00000023283.1)". Lineage: Eukaryota; Metazoa; Chordata; Actinopteri; Anabantiformes; Osphronemidae. The record is from RNAcentral.
ACAUGUAAUAACUCCUCAUUGGGUUAUAUAAACGUUUAUAGCUCGCUGUAACCAAUUAAUUGUGCAAACAUUACAGGCUUAAAUGUUACUGGAAACAGUCCAGUGCUCUUGGUCCACAGUGGUAACACAAGACAGUGGAGCUGUACGACUCAUUUUGUUCCAGAGUCACUUGUUAUGACGACACAGCGCUGAUUAGUUACUUGCCUUUGUGUAUUUAUGGAGUUUAAACUUCAGUCAGUGCUGAUUCACUGCGAUGUGGGCCGAGCCCGGACGGAAGCUUGUUACGAGCCAGGGCAUCGGUGAGUAAAACCAGCCUAUGACGUAGAAUAUGAAUCUGCAGAUGCCUGAGUUGAAUUUGUGACCGUCAAAACUGCUGUGUUUUUUUGAUGGACAAAACACUACAAUUUGUGGCUAAAAAACACAGGUUAGUUUAUAACAGAGCUCAAAUGACCCGCUGAUUGUCCCUAUUGGACGUGUGUGUGGUGUGGCCCCUCCCUGCGGUGUCCCCUCUGCAAAGCCUCCAAUCCCUUCCUGUGGCCAAGCACUCUAUGCAUAUACAUGAGCCCCCGAGGGCUCCAGGACCUCGGACGGGCUAGAUAGCUGAGGGGAUUCAGUUGGGCUGUUUUGUCUGGGGCUCCUUCAUCCAACAAUCCCCAGAGAAAGGACUGCGGCUUCCACCUUUCCUGGCCACGGGGAGAUGACGGCUCCCAGCGUUAGAGGGCCACUUGUGGUGCUGCUCCUGCAGCUCGUCCUCGUUUGCUCCGCUCAGAGGAGUGAGGGGACUCCUGGCCCUGUUGGACCUGCAGGUGUCCCAGGAAUUGAUGGCAUAGAUGUGAGCUUUCUUUUCUCCAAGAUAUUAUUGUUAUUAAGUUCACUAUCUGAUCUCCUCAAGUCACGGAGUCUGUCUUUGUUUCAGGGGGAAAGAGGAGUUGGUGGCGAAGAUGGCCCACCUGUAAUUAUAAUAAUUCAUGUUUUUAAACUUUUAAAAGUUAAAAAAAGUAUUUCAGCUGAAUGUUUUCAUUGUAUAGUUUCCCUGAUUAUAUGUACGUCUAUGGACCAUUUUUGUUUUUAGGGGCCUGAUGGAGAUGCAGGGAAACCUGGCUCUUCAGGGUUACCAGGAAUCCCAGGGAAUGAUGUAAGUCAUCUUUAUACUAUUACAUUCACUACAUUUAGAGUGUAACCAUCACGACUGCAGCCACAUCAAGUGUGAUUGUCCCACCGUGUAAGAUGUGUUUGUACUAGUUCAUUUUAAGCAGCUAAUGCUUUUUUUGUGGUGGUGUUGAAAUUUUGGGAAAACCUUUAUUAGGAAGUCCUAGCUCUCAACAAUAGCAGCCUUGUGUUCCUGUUGAGAGUCCUGAAACAGCAUGGGAAAACUUUUUGUUUUUUUUCUUCAAUGAGCCAGAGGAAUGUUACUCUGGGCUUGGUUUGAAGUCUGAGAUCUUUGACCUCUGCCCUGGUGUUGACUUUUUCUGUGUGUCUGUCAAAGUGAACACGCUUGUGACAUGUUCAUAAACAGAACUUUCAUUUUAAUGUGAGUAAUCCUGCUGUAGCUAUGGAUACAUGAGGCUCCUCCUACCGGAGUGUAAUAUAAUGACGUAAUACAGAUAAUCAUGAAUAAAAAUACUAAAUGAAAAUAUACUGAGACUGCU